AUUGAACGCUGGCGGCAUGCCUAAUACAUGCAAGUCGAACGAUCUCUUCGGAGAUAGUGGCGCACGGGUGCGUAACGCGUGGGAAUCUACCCUUGGGUUCGGAAUAACAUCGAGAAACUGAUGCUAAUACCGGAUGAUGACGUAAGUCCAAAGAUCUAUCGCCCAGGGAUGAGCCCGCGUAGGAUUAGCUAGUUGGUGAGGUAAAGGCUCACCAAGGCGACGAUCCUUAGCUGGUCUGAGAGGAUGAUCAGCCACACUGGGACUGGGACACGGCCCAGACUCCUACGGGAGGCAGCAGUAGGGAAUAUUGGACAAUGGGGGCAACUCUGAUCCAGCAAUGCCGCGUGAGUGAUGAAGGCCUUAGGGUUGUAAAGCUCUUUUACCCGGGAUGAUAAUGACAGUACCGGGAGAAUAAGCCCCGGCUAACUCCGUGCCAGCAGCCGCCGCCG
This 449-nucleotide ribosomal RNA is filed under the name uncultured bacterium. Its description in RNAcentral is "partial 16S ribosomal RNA". It matches the Rfam family "Bacterial small subunit ribosomal RNA", at positions 30 to 523 of the family's 1533-position model. The record is from RNAcentral.